Molecule: ribosomal RNA, 459 nt
Filed under: uncultured bacterium
Lineage: Bacteria
Description: bacterial SSU rRNA
Rfam family: Bacterial small subunit ribosomal RNA
Source: RNAcentral
GGCGGCGUGCUUAACACAUGCAAGUCGAACGGUGAACCAGAGGCUUUGGCUCUGGGGAAUCAGUGGCGAACGGGUGAGUAACACGUGGGCAACCUGCCCCAGACUCUGGGAUAACCUCGGGAAACCGAUGCUAAUACCGGAUACGACCACUUCGGACAUCCGACGGUGGUGGAAAGUUUUCGGUCUGGGAUGGGCCCGCGGCCUAUCAGCUAGUUGGUGGGGUAAUGGCCUACCAAGGCGACGACGGGUAGCCGGCCUGAGAGGGCGACCGGCCACACUGGAACUGAGACACGGUCCAGACUCCUACGGGAGGCAGCAGUGAGGAAUAUUGCACAAUGGGCGAAAGCCUGAUGCAGCGACGCCGCGUGAGGGACGACGGCCUUCGGGUUGUAAACCUCUUUCAGCAGGGACGAAGCGAAAGUGACUGUACCUGCAGAAGAAGCACCGGCUAACUACGUG